GAUGAAGAACGUAGCGAAAUGCGAUACGUAAUGUGAAUUGCAGAAUUCAGUGAAUCAUCGAGUCUUUGAACGCACAUUGCGCCCUCUGGUAUUCCGGAGGGCAUGCCUGUCCGAGCGUCAUUGCUGCCCUCAAGCACGGCUUGUGUGUUGGGCUCCGUCCCCCGAUCCCGGGGGACGGGCCCGAAAGGCAGCGGCGGCACCGCGUCCGGUCCUCGAGCGUAUGGGGCUUUGUCACCCGCUCUGUAGGCCCGGCCGGCGCUUGCCGAUCAACCAAAUUUUUAUCCAGGUUGACCUCGGAUCAGGUAGGGAUACCCGCUGAACUUAAGCAUAUCAUAAGCGGAGGA
RNAcentral lists this unclassified non-coding RNA (344 nucleotides) under soil metagenome. Its description in RNAcentral is "partial contains 5.8S ribosomal RNA, internal transcribed spacer 2, and large subunit ribosomal RNA". The stretch from base 1 to 120 matches the Rfam family "5.8S ribosomal RNA", at positions 35 to 154 of the family's 154-position model. The record is from RNAcentral.